CGGAGGCAGCAGUGAGGAAUAUUGGUCAAUGGGCGAGAGCCUGAACCAGCCAUGCCGCGUGCAGGAAGACGGCCCUACGGGUUGUAAACUGCUUUUGUGUGGGAAGAAAACGUUCUACGUGUAGGACACUGACGGUACCAUAUGAAUAAGCAUCGGCUAACUCCGUGCCAGCAGCCGCGGUAAUACGGAGGAUGCGAGCGUUAUCCGGAUUUAUUAGGUUUAAAGGGUGUGUAGGCGGACGAUUAAGUCAGUGGUGAAAUCUCACAGCUUAACUGUGAAACUGCCAUAGAUACUGGUUGUCUUGAGUACAGUUGAAGUAGGCGGAAUGUGUAAUGUAGCGGUGAAAUGCUUAGAUAUUACACAGAACACCGAUUGCGAAGGCAGCUUGCUAAGCUGUUACUGACGCUGAUGCACGAAAGCGUGGGGAGCGAACAGGAUUAGAUACCCCGGU
This 451-nucleotide ribosomal RNA is filed under the name uncultured bacterium. RNAcentral's name for it is "bacterial SSU rRNA". It matches the Rfam family "Bacterial small subunit ribosomal RNA", at positions 343 to 791 of the family's 1533-position model. The record is from RNAcentral.